GGAGGGGUUCCCGAGCGGUCAAAGGGAUCAGACUGUAAAUCUGACGCGCAAGCUUCGGUGGUUCGAAUCCACCCCCCUCCACCA
This 84-nucleotide transfer RNA is filed under the name Gammaproteobacteria bacterium. Its description in RNAcentral is "tRNA-Tyr". It matches the Rfam family "tRNA". From Rfam's summary of the family: Transfer RNA (tRNA) molecules are approximately 80 nucleotides in length. Their secondary structure includes four short double-helical elements and three loops (D, anti-codon, and T loops). Lineage: Bacteria; Pseudomonadati; Pseudomonadota; Gammaproteobacteria. RNAcentral also lists the same sequence under 2 other names. The record is from RNAcentral.